UACGAAGGGGGGCUAGCGUUGCUCGGAAUGACUGGGCGUAAAGGGCGCGUAGGCGGAUGGCUUUGUCGGGCGUGAAAUUCCAGGGCUUAACCUUGGGGCUGCGUUCGAGACGGGUUGUCUUGAGUGGGGAAGAGGGUCGUGGAAUUCCCAGUGUAGAGGUGAAAUUCGUAGAUAUUGGGAAGAACACCGGUGGCGAAGGCGGCGAUCUGGGUCGAUACUGACGCUGAGGUGCGAAAGCGUGGGGAGCAAACAGG
This 254-nucleotide ribosomal RNA is filed under the name uncultured bacterium. RNAcentral's name for it is "partial 16S ribosomal RNA". It matches the Rfam family "Bacterial small subunit ribosomal RNA", at positions 524 to 776 of the family's 1533-position model. The record is from RNAcentral.